GAGGAGCUACCACCGCCGGGGUGUUGCUCGAUCGAGACCGUUAGCGGUCUCGUGGCGGAUUUACGGUUGGGAUUGAAGCUUGAAGAUGGAAAAGCAAUGGUGGAGAAUAUAAGUGCUGGAAUUUUGAGUAUAAUAAGUUGGAGGUAUUUAUUUGUUGAAGAUGCUCUUAGGUAUUUACAACAUUUUCUUUCAUCUUAGAAAAAAAGUGUAAAUAUUGUCCUAAUUAAUUAGGAAAUGGUUGU
Molecule: unclassified non-coding RNA, 242 nt
Filed under: Hevea brasiliensis (rubber tree)
Lineage: Eukaryota; Viridiplantae; Streptophyta; Magnoliopsida; Malpighiales; Euphorbiaceae
Source: RNAcentral